Molecule: ribosomal RNA, 497 nt
Filed under: uncultured bacterium
Lineage: Bacteria
Description: partial 16S ribosomal RNA
Rfam family: Bacterial small subunit ribosomal RNA
Source: RNAcentral
GAUGAACGCUGGCGGCGUGCCUAAUACAUGCAAGUCGAGCGAACAGAUGAGGAGCUUGCUCCUCUGACGUUAGCGGCGGACGGGUGAGUAACACGUGUAUCACCUACCUAUAAGACUGGUAUAACUUCGGGAAACCGGAUCUAAUACCGGAUAAUAUCUUGAACCGCAUGGUUCAAUAGUGAAAGUCGGUUUUUCUGUCACUUAUAGAUGGAUCCGCGCCGCAUUAUCUAGUUGGUAAGGUAACGGCUUACCAAGGCAACGAUGCGUAGCCGAACUGAGAGGGUGAUCGGCCACACUGGAACUGAGACACGGUCCAGACUCCUACGGGAGGCAGCAGUAGGGAAUCUGACGCAAUGGGCGAAAGCCUGACGGAGCAACGCGGAGUGAGUGAUGAAGGUCUUCGGAGCGUAAAAAUCUGUUAUUAGGGAAGAACAAAUGUGUAAGUAACUAUGCACGUAGUGACGGUACCUAAUCAGAAAGCCACGGCUAACUACGUG